GUCAGAGAAUAGUGCAAUGCAACUUCUAAACAAACCGAUGAAUCUGGUUCACUACUUGUUUACAGAACAACGAGGUACAAACUAUCUCAUUGUUACAUUCUUACACCUACUUUGUAAUUCACAGUGUUCUUUCUGUGGGACUAUUAGUAUUCUGGGAGCUCACGUUGCUGUUUGCCUUGCUGUGCACAGAUUGCUGUCCGGAUUUUGGUACCUGCGUGUCUGGCUUCAUCUCCGUGCACCGGGGGGCUCGGAGCCCGGCGUCCCAGCCAACGGGCUGGAAGGAACAUCAGCCGGGAGGCAGGGGAACAGGCAGCGAGAGCGAACAGGGGUUAUUAAUGGUGACCGCUGGAGCCCGGCAGAAUGACAAAACAGGGGGAAACAAACAGCGUGUGAAAUGCACACCUGUCUGCGGAGUCUCGGAGGGGGCCGUGAAGGAGAAGCGGUGGGCGUCUGCACGACUCCCUCACUGUCGCCGCCGUGUCCGCUGCCUUCAUACGAUAGCGCCGUCGAGAAGAACCUCCCCUCUGACAGAGGAUUCUGUGAGCAGCCCUACGGCUCUGCUGCAGGUACCCGAGGAUGGAAUAGCAGUGGCCAAGCUGGAGUGGCACCUGUCUGUUCCUGCACGCUGGAUUCUCACCGGAUAUUGUACACCUGGGAAUUCACUCUCACCGUCCUCACGCCCGUUCCUGCCGCUCACCGACCCUUGUGUCAUUGAAUAAAUCCGACUUGCACCUGCUUUUCUGGGCGACUGUGGAAAAAUAUAAUUCCGCCCACGAGACGACCUCAAAUUUGCGGACAGUUUUCUUGAUUUCUGACAUCCAUUCUGACACCUCCACGCUGGCAGAAUGGAUUUCUACCAUUUAUCGUCCAUCGAUCCGUCUCCUACUCUCUUUUGAACUGGGGAAAUAACCCGUGGCCCUCUCCUGCAAGAAGGACCCCGGAAUCACAGCGGAGACCCCGCUCGGUUUGCCAAGCGUGGACGGGUCAUUUUCCUCGGAUGGAGUCUGUGCCACAAUCUAAUUUUCAAUUCAUCACAGGACAUAAGUAGAUGGCCUCCGCUGUCUUUCUAAAGAUUUCCCGCUCGCAGUGUGACAAAUUGCCAGCGACCGACUCUGGCAGACUGCAUGAGAGCAACGCACCAUACUUCAUAUCAGAUUCAUUUUAUGCCACUGCGAACGCAUUACAACUACGGCCUGUGAACAUUACAACUACUCCUUCAAAAUCUGCAGCUCUCAACUGCAAAUCAUCUCGUAACAGAGUUUGCCAGUUUCAAGAAAUAAAAGGAAAACAUCUUUGAACUGCACGCGUAAUGUGGUAUGUGUAAAACCUGUGCCUCCAGUACAUAAAAACAAAUCAUCCCAAAACUGAGCUUGGGG
Long non-coding RNA from Gasterosteus aculeatus aculeatus (three-spined stickleback), 1376 nucleotides. The record is from Ensembl. Lineage: Eukaryota; Metazoa; Chordata; Actinopteri; Perciformes; Gasterosteidae.